CGUAGGCGGGUUACCAAGUCAGGGGUGAAAUCUUUCGGCUCAACCGGAAAACAGCCUUUGAUACUGGUAGUCUGGAGGGAGGUAGGGGCAUGUGGAACUUCCGGUGGAGCGGUGAAAUGUGUUGAUAUCGGAAGGAACGCCGGUGGCGAAAGCGACGUGCUGGACCUCUUCUGACGCUGAGGCGCGAAAGCUAGGGUAGCGAACG
This 205-nucleotide ribosomal RNA is filed under the name uncultured bacterium. RNAcentral's name for it is "partial 16S ribosomal RNA". It matches the Rfam family "Bacterial small subunit ribosomal RNA", at positions 570 to 774 of the family's 1533-position model. The record is from RNAcentral.